Molecule: transfer RNA, 84 nt
Filed under: Gammaproteobacteria bacterium
Lineage: Bacteria; Pseudomonadati; Pseudomonadota; Gammaproteobacteria
Description: tRNA-Leu
Rfam family: tRNA
About the family: Transfer RNA (tRNA) molecules are approximately 80 nucleotides in length.
Source: RNAcentral
GCCGGGGUGGCGGAAUUGGUAGACGCGUCGGAUUCAAAAUCCGGUGGGGUUAAACCCGUGAGAGUUCGAGUCUCUCUCCCGGCA